ACUGUCCAUAAAAGUGGACCAUUUUUGUCUCAAGAAACGGCCAAUAUUCCAUAAUGGAACUUUUUUUUUUAAAUAAUUUUUUAUUUCACCUUUAUUUAACCAGGUAGGCAAGUUGAGAACAAGUUCUCAUUUACAAUUGCGACCUGGCCAAGAUAAAGCAAAGCAGUUCGACAGAUACAACGACACAGAGUUACACAUGGAGUAAAACAAACAUACAGUCAAUAAUACAGUAUAAACAAGUCUAUAUACGAUGUGAGCAAAUGAGGUGAGAAGGGAGGUAAAGGCAAAAAAGGCCAUGGUGGCAAAGUAAAUACAAUAUAGCAAGUAAAACACUGGAAUGGUAGUUUUGCAAUGGAAGAAUGUGCAAAAGUAUAAAUAAAAAUAAUGGGGUGCAAAGGAGCAAAAUAAAUAAAUACAGUAGGGAAAGAGGUAGUUGUUUGGGCUAAAUUAUAGGUGGGCUAUGUACAGGUGCAGUAAUCUGUGAGCUGCUCUGACAGUUGGUGCUUAAAGCUAAUGAGCCAUGGUUUGUGUAUAAUGUAAGGUAAAUUGACGCAAUAGGCCACUAAUGUUGAAUUACCCAUAUUGUGAUACAUACUACAUGUUGUAUGUUUGAGAUUACAUUUUAAAUGGGCGCCAUCUAGUGUAUACAACGAAUGCAUCUAUAGGAAAUAAUUUAUAGUAAAAUUGUAUUAUCGGGAGAACUAGGCGGAGCACGAAUGCACAUUUCUAUUUUGCACAUUGCCCUAUCAAUUCCGAUCAUAUAAAACAGCUGAACCAAAUAUCAAAUCAAUAGCAGACAAAGCGCCACUGGAACGGAGUCGGGUCAGCCUUGUUGAAUUGUUUGGGCUAAAAUAUAAUUCAAACCUAAAAUGGAUCCUUGUGAUUGCUCAAAAACUGGACGCUGCAGUUGCGGUGGACUCUGCAAGUGUACAAACUGCGAAUGUGCCAAGAAAAGUAAGGGCAUGUGUUGAUCUUUGAGCUCGGAACAAGAAUUGUUACACCCGCAAUAACUUCUGCUAAAUAUGUGUAUGUGAUCUAUAAAGUGGAAUCUGUCGAAGCAAAGCGACGCUAACGGAUGGAGCUAGAUUAACGUAUACUUAGACUGCGCUAUUGGAUGUAAGGACUGACUAUCCAUUUUAUAGUUGUAGCUUCAGUGUUUAUUUUCUAUCUUGUAAGCAUUUUAUAUUGUGUUCUGAUGGAAUAGGCAUACGACAGCUAAACUAAGCGCAUUAUGCAUUUUAAGUUAAAUUCUUAAAGAGUCAAUGGGUACAUGUCGAACUUAUUUUUGAUUUAUUUUAUUUAACCAGGUAGGCAAGUUGAGAACAAGUUCUCAUUUACAAUUGCGGCCUGGAAAUGUCAAAAUGGCUGUAACCAGUGCAGAUUGCUUUAUUUUUUUACUUUACAGUUUAGUUGUGAACAAUUGUUAGCCACAUCUUCGACAGACUGAACAUCCCAAACCAAUGAGAGGAUUCGAUCAAAUUGGAAUCGGGUAGGCGUGCGUUAUACCUGGCUCACUCCAGGUGCCCGGAAAAAGCCCGCUCAGUGACGUAAUUAUGCGCGUGGAAUAAUGAGUAGGAUUGCCUUCACGUGCAAUACUAAUUUC
This is a long non-coding RNA of Oncorhynchus kisutch (coho salmon), 1603 nucleotides long. The record is from Ensembl. NCBI's taxonomy places the organism in Eukaryota, Metazoa, Chordata, Actinopteri, Salmoniformes, Salmonidae.